This 337-nucleotide ribosomal RNA is filed under the name uncultured Antarctic cyanobacterium. Its description in RNAcentral is "bacterial SSU rRNA". It matches the Rfam family "Bacterial small subunit ribosomal RNA", at positions 356 to 710 of the family's 1533-position model. Lineage: Bacteria; Bacillati; Cyanobacteriota. The record is from RNAcentral.
GGGGAAUUUUCCGCAAUGGGCGAAAGCCUGACGGAGCAAGACCGCGUGAGGGAUGACGGCCUAAUGGUUGUAAACCUCUUUUCUCUGGGAAGAUAAUGACGGUACCAGAGGAAUAAGCCUCGGCUAACUCCGUGCCAGCAGCCGCGGUAAUUCGGAGGAGGCAAGCGUUAUCCGGAAUUAUUGGGCGUAAAGCGUCCGUAGGUGGUUAAUCAAGUCAGCUGUUAAAGAGCGGAGCUCAACUCCGUUAGAGCGGUUGAAACUGAUUGACUAGAGUUUGGUAGGGGUCGAGGGAAUUCCCAGUGUAGCGGUGAAAUGCGUAGAUAUUGGGAAGAACACC